This 301-nucleotide ribosomal RNA is filed under the name uncultured bacterium. Its description in RNAcentral is "partial 16S ribosomal RNA". It matches the Rfam family "Bacterial small subunit ribosomal RNA", at positions 509 to 807 of the family's 1533-position model. The record is from RNAcentral.
CAGCCGCCACGGUAAUACAGAGGGUGCAAGCGUUAAUCGGAAUUACUGGGCGUAAAGCGCGCGUAGGUGGUUUGUUAAGUUGAAUGUGAAAUCCCCGGGCUCAACCUGGGAACUGCAUCCAAAACUGGCAAGCUAGAGUAGGGCAGAGGGUGGUGGAAUUUCCUGUGUAGCGGUGAAAUGCGUAGAUAUAGGAAGGAACACCAGUGGCGAAGGCGACCACCUGGGCUCAUACUGACACUGAGGUGCGAAAGCGUGGGGAGCAAACAGGAUUAGAUACCCGUGUAGUCCCUGUCUCUUAUAC